UCUUGAACAAAUAUCUCACCACUUGUUCUCCCACUUGCAAUUCACGUUCCUCUCCAUUUUUAUAUUCCCUUCACUUUUUCAUUUUCUGCAGCAUCCUCACGUUCUCCUCAACAUCACUUUCUUCUUACUUUCCCCGGACUAAAACCCACUUCUUCCUCUUCCUUAGUUGCAUGAUUGCAGCACCAUCUUCCUCUUUUUCUCCUUCUUCCCAUCACGUUGCAGCACCCACACUCACCACAUGAGCCACCACCUUCACGUUUUCUUCCUCUCCAUGGCAGCACCUCACCAUCACCACCGCCCCUCCUCCUCACCAUGGCUGUUAUGUCUAGCCAAGAGGCCACCACAAUCACGUUCCUCUUCUUUCUCUCCUUGGCCACCACGAGGAGGCCAGCACCACAAGGAACACGUACAGCCCCAUUCAUCAUAUGGUAUUGUUCAAGCUUCAUCAUCCAUAUCAUGACAAGGAGACACCAUCACCAUGCCACUUUACUUCCUCAUGUAGUAAAACCUUUUUCUUUGCUAUCUCUGAUUGAUAAACUUCAUUUACAUGCUUCAAAAUUCUUAGAACAAGAUCUGAUCAUUUCAUGAAAUAGGGAUUUAAGCUCCUUCACCAUCAUCUUCUCAUUUUCCUUGGUAAAAGCCUUAAUUUCUUGAUUAGUAUGUAUGUAUAUUUGAUUUCAAAAUUUAUCUGGGGUUUAGAUGAAUCAAAAUGGUUUGAGAUAGUGUUAUGGUGCUGAGAACAUGUUGGAAAUUUCAAAACGACGUUCUGUUAUGAAUUCCGUCACAAACAUCAGUUUUUCCGUCACAAAGCUCAGUUUUUCCGUCACUAACAGAACCUGCAGGGGACCAUUUCCUGUUUCGGUUCUCCAACUUGAAAAUUGCAUAACUCUCUCAUCUUUUAUCCGUUUUAGGUGUAAGACCACUUUUUAGAAAGCCCCAAGAGUCUACUUUAAUAUAAAAUAUAUUUGAAACUCUUUCUACUGCUAAUUGGCUGAAGAAAAUUUAUAUUUCUAAUGUAGUAUGUUUUACUAAUCUCUUUAUAAAGGUUGUUGUGGUUGAGUAGAGUUUCAUGUUAAUGUAUUAAGUUUUCUAAAAAAUUGUUUUCUUUGAGUUAAGUGGUUUUGGGGUUUUAAGGAUUUUGUUUUAAGCCUUAAUUAGUUGUUUUAAGUGCUAAAAAUAGCUUUGAAAUAGAUUUGGCGAAAAAGGAAAAUUUGUACAUGGUUAUGUAGGUGUGGCCGAGACUAUGGUACGUGCUUUGGGUUUGGAAAAUUACUUCUGAACUUGUUUUUCUUUAAUGCAAAAUCCUAAGUUAAGUUUGAGGACUAAAAGUUUAUUGUGGGAAAACUUUGGACUUAAGACACAAGAGGUUGAAGAGUUUUGGGUUAAACUUGAGUUUUAAAAGUCUUGGGGUUUGUUUGAUAAAUUUAUUAAAGAUUGAGGGUUGAAAAAAAAACUUACUCUUAGAUGAGGACCUUUGCGUGAUUAUGUGUUUGUCAAGGGACUAGGGUUGAAUUACUUAAAAGUUGAGGAGUUGUUUUCCUAAUGUGCUUUUGAAGGACCGUUCUUUAACUCGCAAAUGUCUUAUCUUUGGACUUUAGUCCUUGAAACAUAAAGCAUAUGCAUUAAACUAAGUGAGUUAGAAUGAUUAGCUAAACUUAUUUUGAAACUUUAGAUAUGACCUUAGAGGCUAAGGUUUAGCAUAUGUACUUAUGAAGGGUACGAACAACGAGAACGCUUGGCGACGAAACGAAAGAACUAAAAAGGAAGCGAGCCGGCACCGGGAAGCAAGGAUGUGAUUGGAUUGGAGUUGCAGUUUAGGAAGGGAAUUGACUAAGGCGAUGGAGAAUCUUCGAUGGAGCAUGACCUUCGUACGAGUCGAAGAGGAGAACUUGAAGAACUGUGGAUGACUCGAAGAAUAGAGUCGGGUGUAGGGCUAGAGUCUUGGGUUAGAAAGCUAACCGUUAUUGGUUUAAGCUUGCAUAAUGAUUUUAGAAAUUUAUAUUUGGGGUUUCGGGUACUCGCCUUGCUCAAGGUUUAACUGUAAAUUUAUUUACAUUUAGGAGUAUGCAUGACAUGUUUUGGAAAUACUUCGAAAAGAAAAUAAUAUACGCAUGUUUAUAAAUCCUUUUGAAAAA
Lotus japonicus is the source of this 2135-nucleotide long non-coding RNA. RefSeq lists it as uncharacterized. The record is from RefSeq and is a predicted model, not a curated record. The transcript has 2 exons. NCBI's taxonomy places the organism in Eukaryota, Viridiplantae, Streptophyta, Magnoliopsida, Fabales, Fabaceae.